This 409-nucleotide ribosomal RNA is filed under the name uncultured Desulfosporosinus sp. Its description in RNAcentral is "bacterial SSU rRNA". It matches the Rfam family "Bacterial small subunit ribosomal RNA", at positions 971 to 1382 of the family's 1533-position model. The record is from RNAcentral. Lineage: Bacteria; Bacillati; Bacillota; Clostridia; Eubacteriales; Desulfitobacteriaceae.
UUACCAGGCUUGACAUCCCUUGAAGCAGCUAGAGAUAGCUGUGUCCUUCGGGACAAGGAGGACAGGUGGUGCAUGGUUGUCGUCAGCUCGUGUCGUGAGAUGUUGGGUUAAGUCCCGCAACGAGCGCAACCCCUGUGGUUAGUUGCCAGCAAGUAGCGUUGGGCACUCUAGCCAGACUGCCGGUGAUAAAUCGGAGGAAGGUGGGACGACGUCAAAUCAUCAUGCCCUUUAUGUCCUGGGCUACACACGUGCUACAAUGGCCGGUACAGACGGACGCAAAGCCGCGAGGUGGAGCAAAUCCUAAAAAGCCGGUCUCAGUUCGGAUUGCAGGCUGCAAUUCGCCUGCAUGAAGUCGGAAUCGCUAGUAAUCGCAGGUCAGCAUACUGCGGUGAAUACGUUCCCGGGCCUU